GGGGACAUGGUCUAGUGGUAUGACGGAUCCUUAGCACGGUCAAGCCGGCUGAAUUGGAUCAGGUCCGGGGUUCGAUUCCCCGUGUCUCCA
RNAcentral lists this transfer RNA (90 nucleotides) under Ceratocystis platani. It matches the Rfam family "tRNA". Rfam says of the family: Transfer RNA (tRNA) molecules are approximately 80 nucleotides in length. Lineage: Eukaryota; Fungi; Ascomycota; Sordariomycetes; Microascales; Ceratocystidaceae. The record is from Rfam by way of RNAcentral. RNAcentral also lists the same sequence under 1 other name.